RNAcentral lists this ribosomal RNA (310 nucleotides) under Pseudomonas sp. RRF. RNAcentral describes it as "bacterial SSU rRNA". It matches the Rfam family "Bacterial small subunit ribosomal RNA", at positions 54 to 354 of the family's 1533-position model. Lineage: Bacteria; Pseudomonadati; Pseudomonadota; Gammaproteobacteria; Pseudomonadales; Pseudomonadaceae. The record is from RNAcentral.
UNCGCNGCCUACCAUGCAGUCGAGCGGAUGAAGGGAGCUUGCUCCCUGAUUCAGCGGCGGACGGGUGAGUAAUGCCUAGGAAUCUGCCUGGUAGUGGGGGACAACGUUUCGAAAGGAACGCUAAUACCGCAUACGUCCUACGGGAGAAAGCAGGGGACCUUCGGGCCUUGCGCUAUCAGAUGAGCCUAGGUCGGAUUAGCUAGUUGGUGAGGUAAUGGCUCACCAAGGCGACGAUCCGUAACUGGUCUGAGAGGAUGAUCAGUCACACUGGAACUGAGACACGGUCCAGACUCCUACGGGAGGCAGCAGA